GUCUGUGACUCUGAAAUCACCGCGGUGAUGCACCGGACAAGUUCAGAGCUGUUGCAUUUCACUGCGAGAAGCGCUGUCCCUUUCCAUAGACCUGCCCCCGCCCCCACCCCGGGGCUCUGAUUCAGCCUCCGGGCUCAUUUCAUAAUUGGUCUCAUUUUCAACCCCUCCUCGGCUCUUACGUCCGUGUGGCCUUUGAAAUCUUGAAUUUCCACUCCGGGGCUCUUGCCUUGUUGUGUCGUGAAACCACAAUCUGUGGUUUUAAAGCCAGCUGGGCGCGCUGAGCCAGGUGUGCCUAAUGAGUCUGCAGAUACAACAAGGAGUGGGGCUGCUGUAAAACUGAAGCUUGCUCAUUGGGCUCUUUCUCAAAGGACGGCGUGACUGUUGGAUUCUUCUGGAUUAAGCUUUUGGAUAGUAAACGGAUGUUCUUGUCCAGAAAACCCACUGAUACCUGGCAUUGGGUGUUGUGUUUUAUAUAAACAUAAGGAGAGAAGAAA
Molecule: non-coding RNA, 494 nt
Organism: Rattus norvegicus (Norway rat)
Lineage: Eukaryota; Metazoa; Chordata; Mammalia; Rodentia; Muridae
Source: RefSeq, a predicted model, not a curated record